GAUUCUCAUUUCCCUGAUGACCAGUGAUACUGAGCAUGUUUUCAUGGAAGCGCAUCAUUUUUUUACACAGCAGCUUUUACGUGAAGACUUUCUGGAUGAUUCUGGUUUAUACUGAUUUCCUUUUCCAAUUUCCUUUGGCUUCUAAUUCGUAUUUUAAAUGCAAAGGCCCUCAGUCUCAGUUGUCUUGUGUUCUGAACUAAGAUGGACUCCUUGAGGCUUUUGUAGAUAGGUUUACUUUGCUGCCUUCUUUUGUAUUCCUCACAGUACCUAGUGUUGCUUUUGUAAUUACCCUUUAAGAAAUACUUCAUUGACUCAGGAGGUUAAGGCCGUCUUGAUCUCACUUAGUGCCCAGAUGGACGUGAUUUCUC
Long non-coding RNA from Mustela erminea (ermine), 368 nucleotides. RefSeq lists it as uncharacterized. The record is from RefSeq and is a predicted model, not a curated record. Lineage: Eukaryota; Metazoa; Chordata; Mammalia; Carnivora; Mustelidae. The transcript is spliced from 3 exons.